GGGCGGUUAGCUCAGUUGGUAGAGCGCUUCUCUUACAAGGAAGAGGUCACCCGUUCGAGCCGGGUACUGCCCACCA
Molecule: transfer RNA, 76 nt
Filed under: Planctomycetota bacterium
Lineage: Bacteria; Pseudomonadati; Planctomycetota
Description: Planctomycetes bacterium (freshwater metagenome) tRNA-Val
Rfam family: tRNA
About the family: Transfer RNA (tRNA) molecules are approximately 80 nucleotides in length. Their secondary structure includes four short double-helical elements and three loops (D, anti-codon, and T loops).
Source: RNAcentral